UACGUAGGGUGCAAGCGUUAAUCGGAAUUACUGGGCGUAAAGCGUGCGCAGGCGGUUUUGUAAGGCUGACGUGAAAUCCCCGGGCUUAACCUGGGAAUUGCGUUGGAGACUGCAAGGCUGGAGUCUGGCAGAGGGGGGUAGAAUUCCACGUGUAGCAGUGAAAUGCGUAGAGAUGUGGAGGAACACCGAUGGCGAAGGCAGCCCCCUGGGUCAAAACUGACGCUCAUGCACGAAAGCGUGGGGAGCAAACAGG
Molecule: ribosomal RNA, 253 nt
Filed under: uncultured bacterium
Lineage: Bacteria
Description: partial 16S ribosomal RNA
Rfam family: Bacterial small subunit ribosomal RNA
Source: RNAcentral